This 421-nucleotide ribosomal RNA is filed under the name uncultured bacterium. Its description in RNAcentral is "bacterial SSU rRNA". It matches the Rfam family "Bacterial small subunit ribosomal RNA", at positions 355 to 774 of the family's 1533-position model. The record is from RNAcentral.
UAAGGAAUAUUGGUCAAUGGACGCAAGUCUGAACCAGCCAUGCCGCGUGAAGGAUGAAGGUCCUCUGGAUUGUAAACUUCUUUUAUCUGGGACGAAAACGGGAUUUUUAUCUCAAUUGACGGUACCAGAGGAAUAAGCACCGGCUAACUCCGUGCCAGCAGCCGCGGUAAUACGGAGGGUGCAAGCGUUAUCCGGAUUCAUUGGGUUUAAAGGGUGCGUAGGCGGGCUUGUAAGUCAGUGGUGAAAUCUCUCAGCUUAACUGAGAAACUGCCAUUGAUACUGCAGGCCUAGAGUAUAGAUGACGUUGGCGGAAUAUGACAUGUAGUGGUGAAAUACUUAGAUAUGUCAUAGAACACCGAUUGCGAAGGCAGCUAACGAAACUAUAACUGACGCUGAGGCACGAAAGUGCGGGGAUCAAACA